GGUGCGCUGUUGGAGCCACAUCACCGCCGUUCCUCACUGUCACCGCCGUGUUUCACCGCCGUCGUUAAACUUCCAUCGCCGUCGCCACUGUCCAACCCGCCGUCAGGGAGAGGCACUUCCAUCAAACCCUAGCCAUCACUAUCGCCUUUGCACGCAAAGAAGGGGCUGGUGCCACUGUUGCCACUAUUGCCGUCGAUUUGGAGUUGCCAUAGACACAAUUGUUUCUACUUCUAGUGCUCAUUCUUCUAACUGUUGGAGUUGCUGUGGAAUGGAGCCACUGGCGGGGUGUUGCUGCUGCCAGAACCACCGGGAAGGAUUGCUGGGAAUCACUGCUGCCCUGUUUUCGUUCUAAUUAGGUUCAACAUCCAUUGGCUUGGAGCUGUUUCUGCCUUUCGAUUCCAUCGAAUUCGAAAUCUUCAUUUCAUUGCAACCAUGGUCAUUGUUGUGGAAGCUAAUGCUACUGCUGUCCCGGUUGUGUUGAGAUGUAGUGCUGCUGCUUUCUGGGCAGAAACGGUUGCGUGACUAGUAGAGGUCCAGCCAGCUGCCUCGCAGCAAUUCUGCCAACGGUCUCUUGUAAUUGCGACAUCGAGUGACACAGGUUUGAAGACGCGAUUUGAAGCUGCGAGCGAUUAGUAGGUUUUUUCUUUAUUGUUUUAAUUGGUCGGGUAGAGUCCCCUCGCUGAUUGUCCCUUGAGAUUUUAUUUCAUAUAGAUGGGUAGGUUUGGUAUAUUGUAUUUGAG
This is a long non-coding RNA of Arachis stenosperma, 740 nucleotides long. RefSeq lists it as uncharacterized. The transcript has 3 exons. NCBI's taxonomy places the organism in Eukaryota, Viridiplantae, Streptophyta, Magnoliopsida, Fabales, Fabaceae. The record is from RefSeq and is a predicted model, not a curated record.